This 645-nucleotide ribosomal RNA is filed under the name uncultured bacterium. RNAcentral's name for it is "bacterial SSU rRNA". It matches the Rfam family "Bacterial small subunit ribosomal RNA", at positions 202 to 842 of the family's 1533-position model. The record is from RNAcentral.
CAAAGGAAGCGAUUCCGGCAACGGACGGGCAUGCGUGACAUUAGCUAGUUGGCGGGGCAACGGCCCACCAAGGCGACGAUGUCUAGGGGUUCUGAGAGGAAGGUCCCCCACACUGGUACUGAGACGCGGACCAGACUCCUACGGGAGGCAGCAGUGAGGAAUAUUGGUCAAUGGGCGCGAGCCUGAACCAGCCAAGUCGCGUGAGAGAUGACGGCCCUACGGGUUGUAAACCUCUUUUGUCGGGGAGCAAAUUCCGCCACGCGUGGCGGAGUCGAGAGUACCCGAAGAAAAAGCAUCGGCUAACUCCGUGCCAGCAGCCGCGGUAAUACGGAGGAUGCGAGCGUUAUCCGGAUUUAUUGGGUUUAAAGGGUGCGUAGGCGGACUGUCAAGUCAGCGGUAAAAUACGGGGGCUCAACCUCCGCCCGCCGUUGAAACUGACGGUCUUGAGUGGGCGAGAAGUAUGCGGAAUGCGUGGUGUAGCGGUGAAAUGCAUAGAUAUCACGCAGAACUCCGAUUGCGAAGGCAGCAUACCGGCGCCCAACUGACGCUGAAGCACGAAAGCGUGGGUAUCGAACAGGAUUAGAUACCCUGGUAGUCCACGCAGUAAACGAUGAAUACUAGCUGUCCGGGGCGAAUGAGCUCUGG